RNAcentral lists this ribosomal RNA (403 nucleotides) under uncultured bacterium. Its description in RNAcentral is "partial 16S ribosomal RNA". It matches the Rfam family "Bacterial small subunit ribosomal RNA", at positions 29 to 526 of the family's 1533-position model. The record is from RNAcentral.
AUUGAACGCUGGCGGCAGGCCUAACACAUGCAAGUCGAGCGAGCGGCGGACGGGUGAGUAAUGUAUGGGGACUGCCCGAUAGAGGGGGAUAACUACUGGAAACGGUGGCUAAUACCGCAUACUAUCGGAUAACCCAUAUGGGAUUAGCUAGUAGGUGGGGUAAAGGCUCACCUAGGCGACGAUCCCUAGCUGGUCUGAGAGGAUGAUAUGACACACUGGGACUGAAACACGGCCCGGACCCCGACGGAGGGAGGAGAGGGGAAUGUUGCACAAUGGGCGCAAGCCUGAUGCAGCCAUGCCGCGUGUAUGAAGAAGGCCUUAGGGUUGGAAAGUACUUUCAGUGGGGAGGCGGUACCCGAAGAAGAAGCACCGGCUAACUCCGUGCCAGCAGCCGCGGUAAUUC